Molecule: long non-coding RNA, 1255 nt
Filed under: Podarcis lilfordi (Lilford's wall lizard)
Lineage: Eukaryota; Metazoa; Chordata; Lepidosauria; Squamata; Lacertidae
Source: RNAcentral
GCCUUUUCUGCUCUUCUCUCUGUGUGAGUGAGGGACAAUGGCUGAGAGAGAGGGAGGUUUCAAAGCUCAAUAUGGAGGUCAAAUGGCUGAAAUAUUGGGAAAUUUUGGAACAAGAUGGAGAUAGAUUGAAACUGCAGAGUUUUGAGAAAUUAAAAAACAAAGUGCGAGACUGGCUUCAUUAUUAUCAGAUAAUGGAGGCAUAUAAUUUGGACAAGAAAAUUGGCUUCCAGGUGGAAAAAUCAAAAUUAGAAACAGAACUGUUAGAACCCAAAACUAAGAUUUUGUCAAAGAUGUAUAACUUGCUGUUGAAAUGGAAUACUCAGGAUGAAACGGUGAAAUCUGCUAUGAUUAAAUGGGCACAAGAUGUUGGACAUAACAUAAUGAUGGCUGACUGGGAACAGUUAUGGACCACAGGUAUGAAGUUUACGGCAUGCAAUGCCUUAAGAGAGAAUAUUAUGAAAAUGACAUACAGGUGGUACAUGACCCCAGUCAAGCUUGCAAAAAUCUAUCAUUUGCCCGAUAAUAAAUGUUGGAAAUGUAAAGAAACUGAAGGUACAUUCUUUCACCUUUGGUGGACGUGCCCAAGGAUUAAGGCUUUCUGGGAGAUGAUUUAUAAUGAAUUGAAAAAGGUAUUUAAAUAUACCUUCUUGAAGAAACCAGAGGCUUUCUCCUGGGCAUGGCCGGCCAAUUGGUGCCAAAGAGGGACAGAACUUUCUUUAUGUAUGCCACAACAGCAGCAAGAAUACUUAUUGCAAAGUAUUGGAAGACACAAGACCUACCCACUCUGGAAGAAUGGCAGAUGAAGGUGAUGGACUACAUGGAAUUGGCGGAAAUGACUGGCAGAAUCCGAGACCAGGGAGAAGAGUCGGUGGAAGAAGAUUGGAAGAAAUUUAAAUACUAUUUACACAAAUACUGCAAAAUUAAUGAAUGCUAGAAUGAUGUUGGAUUGAAUUUAAGUGGUUUUUAGCUGUAAUGGUAUAAAAGAAUAUGAAAAAAUGGAUUUUUAACAGGUAAAAAUUUAAUGCUAUAAUAUAUUAAGAUUAAAGAUCAGGAUAAAACAAAGAGGGAAAGGAUUUGCUGAACUAAUAAAUUGAACUGGAAUACAAAAAAGGGAGGUAUGAGGAGGUCCAGGAAACAAGCAAAUGAAAGAUAAGUGAUGGAAAGAUUGAAUUGUUUUUAACUAUUUUUAUUUUGUAUUUUUUCUCUUUUUCUUUUUCAUUUUGUAAUAUUGUGAAAACCUUAAUAAAUAUCUUUU